RNAcentral lists this long non-coding RNA (242 nucleotides) under Elaeis guineensis (African oil palm). RNAcentral's name for it is "long non-coding RNA (EGUI_LNC024266)". Lineage: Eukaryota; Viridiplantae; Streptophyta; Magnoliopsida; Arecales; Arecaceae. The record is from RNAcentral.
UUCCUAACAUGCCUAAGGCUCUUUUUUCAUUUAUCUUUUUAUAUAUUCUCUCUCUCACUCUUGCUCUCUCUUUAUCUAUCUCUCUCAUGCUCUCUCUAUUCUUGAGUCAGGUUGAACCCAACUCAUACUUCUUGUCUCCUACCUUUUCAUUGUUCUCUCUUCCCCGAUCUCCAUCUGAACUCCCUGUCUGGCCUAACCUUAAUACUUAAAGAUCACCGUCCUGAAUCCAUGACCAAUAAUCC